ACAUGCAUACAACAUAGAAUUAAUGUAGUGUGUCCAAUUAGGACUCCAUAAUUAAGUGCACUCAUCAUAGAUUAGUACUGGGAUGGGUGACCUCCUAGGAGGUCCCAGUGUUUUACAUGCC
Molecule: non-coding RNA, 121 nt
Organism: Picea glauca (white spruce)
Lineage: Eukaryota; Viridiplantae; Streptophyta; Pinopsida; Pinales; Pinaceae
Source: Rfam